This 124-nucleotide ribosomal RNA is filed under the name Kappaphycus alvarezii. Lineage: Eukaryota; Rhodophyta; Florideophyceae; Gigartinales; Solieriaceae. RNAcentral also lists the same sequence under 6 other names. The record is from RNAcentral.
UGCUCUGAUACUUAUAGCGCAGUUGUUCCACACCAAACCAUUCCGAACUUGGUAGUUAAAAACUGUAGCGGCAAGAAUACUGAAAAGGAAGCUUUUUGGGAAAGUAGCUCAGCGUCAGAGCUUA